AUUGAACGCUGGCGGCAUGCUUUACACAUGCAAGUCGAACGGCAGCGGAGAGUGCUUGCACUCUGCCGGCGAGUGGCGAACGGGUGAGUAACAUAUUGGAACGUACCGAGUAAAGGGGGAUAACUAUCCGAAAGGAUAGCUAAUACCGCAUACGCUUUGAGAAGGAAAGUGGGGGAUCUUCGGACCUCACGUUAUUCGAGCGGCCAAUAUCUGAUUAGCUAGUUGGUGGGGUAAAGGCCUACCAAGGCGACGAUCAGUAGCGGGUCUGAGAGGACGAUCCGCCACACUGGGACUGAGACACGGCCCAGACUCCUACGGGAGGCAGCAGUGGGGAAUUUUGGACAAUGGGCGCAAGCCUGAUCCAGCCAUGCCGCGUGUCUGAAGAAGGCCUUCGGGUUGUAAAGGACUUUUGUUAGGGAAGAAAAGAAAUGGGUUAAUACCCCAUUUUGCUGACGGUACCUAAAGAAUAAGCACCGGCUAACUACGUG
This 488-nucleotide ribosomal RNA is filed under the name uncultured bacterium. Its description in RNAcentral is "partial 16S ribosomal RNA". It matches the Rfam family "Bacterial small subunit ribosomal RNA", at positions 30 to 507 of the family's 1533-position model. The record is from RNAcentral.